GUAAGAAAAAAAGUACGUUGAGGUUACGAAGUCACUUAGUCGAACUAGAAAACUAUAAAGAAAGGGAGGCUAAGGUUACGAAGUAAGGUCAGCUGGUUAAGGAAAGCUCAGGUUAUGAAAUCGCUUAGCCGUUAAUUAAUUUAAAAAUAAAAGAAAAAUGAAAGUAGUAGUGAGGCGUCGGUACGGAGUUGCGUCAGCUGUGGAUAUAGACUAGGCUAAGGGACGGACUUCAUCUCUUCUAUUUUCUUCACUUACACCUUACACUUCAGCUGAGUCUAACGAGGCUCAGGUGCGGAGCCUUCCACUGUGGACCGAGACUACGCAAAGGUAGAACACCAUGGAAACUUCGCUGACUUUAUCAUCAACCUUGAUUUCGCUACGCUCAAUAAGAACCCGGAAUAGCGGAAAUAGGUUCGUGUUCCGCUUCCAAAGUCAGUCGUCUUUGCCCAAGUGUGAACUGCAGACGACUCUCCAGUGGUUCCAUUCCUUCUUACUGUACUUCUGGGUCAACCCAACCCGAAUGGGAAGA
Molecule: long non-coding RNA, 529 nt
Filed under: Nicotiana benthamiana
Lineage: Eukaryota; Viridiplantae; Streptophyta; Magnoliopsida; Solanales; Solanaceae
Description: long non-coding RNA (NBEN_LNC041111)
Source: RNAcentral